AUUGAACGCUGGCGGCAGGCUUAACACAUGCAAGUCGAACGAGCGGCGGACGGGUGAGUAAUGUAUGGGGAUCUGCCUGAUGGAGGGGGAUAACUACGGGAAACUGUAGCUAAUACCGCGUACCAUAGUAUGAGCCCAAUGGGGAUUAGGUAGUUGGUGGGGUAAAGGCUAACCAAGACGACGAUCUCUAGCUGGUCUGCGAGGAUGACCAGCCACACGGGGACUGUGACACGUCCCAGACUCCUACGAGAGGCAGGAGUGGGGAAUAUGGCGCAAUGGGCGCAACCUGACGUAGCCAUGCCGCGUGAAUGAAGAAGGCCUUCGGGUUGUAAAGUUCUUUCGGUAGCGAGGCGUUAACUACAGAAGAAGCACCGGCUAACUCCGUGCCAGCAGCCGCGGUAAUUC
RNAcentral lists this ribosomal RNA (405 nucleotides) under uncultured bacterium. RNAcentral describes it as "partial 16S ribosomal RNA". It matches the Rfam family "Bacterial small subunit ribosomal RNA", at positions 30 to 526 of the family's 1533-position model. The record is from RNAcentral.